UGCACACCCAAUAAUCUGAUGUCAAAAUUGUUAUCUUUCGAGGCGUUUUUUGCAACUGGUAUGAAUACCUUUGGAAUUUGGUGAAAAAACUGUGUUUCUGUAACAGAAGAGUGCGAUUUAGAAAAGUUUCUUCGGUCCCCAUUAGUAUUUGCAGAAUGAUGCAGUUUAUGCUAUUAUUCAGCCGGCAAGGUAAACUCCGGCUGCAGAAAUGGUAUGUCGCACAUCCAGACAAGGUGAAAAAGAAGAUCACACGAGAACUCAUCACAACAAUUUUGUCCCGAAAGCCUAAGAUGUGUUCAUUUUUGGAGUGGAAAGACUGCAAAAUUGUUUAUAAAAGAUACGCAAGUUUAUACUUCUGCUGUGCAAUUGAACAGAAUGAUAACGAGCUGCUCACCCUCGAGAUCAUUCACAGAUACGUGGAACUGUUAGACAAAUACUUUGGAAGUGUUUGUGAGCUGGACAUUAUUUUCAACUUCGAGAAAGCGUACUUCAUUCUAGAUGAGCUGUUGGUUGGCGGUGAAAUUCAGGAAACGUCGAAAAAAAAUGUUUUAAAAGCUAUCGCUGCCCAGGACGUCCUCCAAGAGGUCAGUACUUCCGAUGAUACCUAUGACAUUUGACUUGCCCUAUACGAAAGCAAAUGAACCAAAAUGCCUUGCCACUUCUUCCCGACGUUUUAGAACACAUCAUUUACACACCUACAUACACUAUCAAAAGCAACAUCAGUUCUAUUACAGUCCAAAGCUAUUUACUAGUGCUAUUUGCUCGUUCAUUACUAGCAUCAUGUUUUAGUGUUCUCGGGUUAGCGAAUCGGGAAAUUUACCUUUUAAUUACGAUACACGUAGUCCAACCUUGUAAGCCUUGCCAAUGCAUAUGUUUAUGUUUUAUCUUGUUUUGUUUGAACGCAUUUAACUUGCUCUUGUUGUUUAUGUUUGUGUUUGUUUUUUUUUCUUCUAUUUUUCGAAUAAUUUUAAAUUAUUUAAUUGGAAAUCUCGCCUAAAACCAAACAAUAACUAAGUUCAAUAGAUAAAUCAGUUGCAAAAAAGUAUUCGAAUAGCAACACUAAUAAAAGCUUCGUAGAAGAAAAUUAGUCUGUAUGUUAGGUUAUUUUUUUAAUGAAACACCUCGUAGGAGAGUUAGACAAUAGUAAUCUGCAUGAAAAAUCGCUAGGGGUAUAUUAAAAAAAGCACUAUAAGGCUAGCCGAUUCGAUUGAAAUGCUCUUCCGAUAUGCUUUAAACAGUUUUUAAACGUUAAAAGUGCCACUUGAUAAUCUGGUUUAUGGUUAGCUAGUACCAGUAGAGGUUUUUAAUCUAUAAUAUUUUUGUGAAUGUGCAUGACAUGCGAUCUUCCAUUUUCAGCUUUAGAUUGGAAACUAAACUCAAAACUUUUGUACUAACAAACCAACAAAAAUUAACCUAAUUUUUGGCUGUCGUUGAAAGCAAACAGUUUUAGUGCGUGCGACCUCUGAAACGUAUUUAAAAUUUUUUAAUAUGAUUUUACGUUGUACAUACUAUAGAGGUAUGGUUUUACUAAGUUUGCUGGAGAUAUUUGAUAAUGUUGAAUAAUGAAAAUAUAAAAUAUUAAUGUGGUAACCGUAAUGGACAGCCCAAAAGCUUAUCCGGUGCUUUAAAUUCUUCUAACAUACUAUUCAACAACUUAAUGCUGUUCGAAUUUUCGAAUUUGUAAGACGAGGUUUCAUUCAACCCAACAUAGAUUUUUAAAAGUUGGACUGAAGAAAAGUCUUCACCGCUAUUGAAUUUAUGGGGUUGCAUGAUUAUUCGAGGAUAAGUUCCGAAAAAAAGGGUAACAAAUUUGUGGAUUGACAGUUUGUGCGAUUGGUUUUUAACUGCAUUUGGAUAUUGCUUUUGCUAACUGCCUCUGUCAAGUAGAAUCUAGUUCCCCAUUUAAAUGAAUAGAAUAGAAUCGAAAUUAUAUUCUCUCUUCCCUCUUCUCUCUUAUUCUCUUCCUACAUGUCACCACAACUACCGACACUGAUACAACGACACUUAUUCCUAUAUGUCCAAUUGCGCUGUGCCUCUUUGAAUGCGAAAAUUUGGUUACCAACCACAAAACCAGGACUUGAAUGAAAAUCUCAACUGAUAAACGCUGAUAGUUUUAGUUUUCCGCUUUUUGUUUUGCUUUUUCUUCAAUUGUAAUUGCAAUUGUUUAUUUCAACAUAUCUUGUUUGUCUGGUUUCUUUUCCCCCUCUGUCCACUGUAUGUUUUCCUCAACUUAUCGCGGGAAAAUCGUCAUACGUUUGCUACUCUCCCGACACAAAUGUAAAAUGAAACUCAGAAGGAGCUGGAUUCAUAGAAGCUUUGUUGGUGGAAUUGUUAUUGGAUACGGUGUUGAACUAUUAAAAUACAAAUUCAGUGCUGCUGGAUUGUGGACUUAAUAACGCUGAUGAAACGGUAGAUGGCGCACUGCGUGAGAUUGGACUGCUUUGAGAGCAAGAGGGGUUGCGCGAAUGCGGCAUCUUCACACCCCCCAACACCUUCCUCCACCUUGUAGGCCCUCCUGUGUAUGGUGUGUGCGUGUGUGUAUGAGAAAGAUAACGACAUUUUGAAUGAAUUUUCCAAUUAGAGGGCUACACACAGACGAGUAGAAGAAAAUGCAGAGCAUGCCUUGGUUAUACGGGAAACGAAUUAGGAGCGCAGUAGGGUCAGUUAUUCUAUACUGAACUCUGUGACAAAUUUCCAAUUAUUUGUCUAUUAAAACAGUAUUCCGGGAUAUAAUAUAAAUGAACCAUAAUUCAAGUGUAAUCAUUUAUUUUAGUUUAUAUUAAAUGUACGUAGAAGAUCGUCUACGUUCUUUUAAUGUUAUUUUUUAAUAUCAUCAUUAAAGUGGCUUUUAGUCAUAGGCUAACGUCUAAAUCAAAUCCGGGCGGGUUGCAUUUGGCAUAUUCGUCUGUGUAUACCAUCAAUCUAUUAUAAUUGUAAAUCACGAGAGGGAUGAACGAUGAUACGAGUAACGGCCAGUUUCGAUUGAUAAAACAUUGGUAUAUUCGUUUUUCACUGUAUUUGCAUUACUUGAUUUUAUUACUGCAUUUAUUCGGUUAACAGUUAGAUAGUGAAUAAAGAACUAUCGUAAUUCGACGUCAUUCUGGGCGUGGAUAAAUGCAUAGUUUACAGAAGUCGUCAGGAGUCAGAUGAUAGUCAGUUUGGUUUUAAUCACUUCAAUUUAGCCUACUUCACUACUAAUUUAAAUAUAGACAGUUCGCUAAGGUUAGGGUUGUAAACUAAUGUUCACAUUUAAAAUUCAAACUCUUUAGAACCCGAUAGACAUUAUAUUUUCAAACACGUGCUAUGUUUAAUUAGGGAACGAAUAAUUGUUGAGCAAUAUAAUCUAGGCCAAUCAAACAAAAAAUAAAUUUAACGAACACCUUUGAA
RNA transcript from Wyeomyia smithii (pitcher-plant mosquito), 3387 nucleotides. It is a transcript of the gene named AP-1 complex subunit sigma-2, with no coding region annotated. The transcript is spliced from 5 exons. Lineage: Eukaryota; Metazoa; Arthropoda; Insecta; Diptera; Culicidae. The record is from RefSeq and is a predicted model, not a curated record.